This 379-nucleotide ribosomal RNA is filed under the name uncultured eukaryote. RNAcentral describes it as "partial 18S ribosomal RNA". It matches the Rfam family "Eukaryotic small subunit ribosomal RNA", at positions 592 to 975 of the family's 1831-position model. The record is from RNAcentral.
CAAUAGCGUAUAUUAAAGUUGUUGCGGUUAAAAAGCUCGUAGUUGGAUUUCUGUUGAGGACGGCCGGUCCGCACUAUGUGCGUGUAUCUGGUUCGGCCUCGGCAUCCUCUCGAAAGCCGUUUCUGCGCUUGAUUGCGUGGUUCGGACUUCGGGACUUUUACUUUGAGGAAAUUAGAGUGUUCACGGCAGGCAAGCGCCUUGAAUAUAUUAGCAUGGAAUAAUAAUAUAGGAUCUUGGUCCUAUUUUGUUGGUUUCUAGGGCUAAGAUAAUGAUUAAUAGGGACAAUUGGGGGCAUUCGUAUUAACGCGUCAGAGGUGGAAUUCUUGGAUUGCGUUACGACGAACUACUGCGAAAGCAUUUGCCAAGGAUGUUUUCAUUG